GUGGGUGCCCGGCACUGGGUGGCGGCUCUGGGAACCGCCGGAGAAGGCUGGAGGAUUGUUCCGCGCCUGGAGCAGGCGGACAGGGGCCGGGAUGGGGAUCCGAGUUAUGGUAUUGAUAUUUAAAGGAGUGCAAGGGCUAAAGAUCGGAGGGGUCGGGGAGAGAAGAGGGACUGUGAGGCUCGGAGACACCUUUCAACUAGAUAAUCUCAAAGCACGUUACAAGCCACGCACUCUCCUUUCCACUUUAUGGAUGAGAAAACUGAGUCAUAAAGAGGUGAAAUGGCGAGUAAAGGUCAAACGACAGCUCGCCUCCUUCGGCUCCCGCUCCGGGUGGGUCAGGCCCACCGAAAGGGACGUAGCCGGGCAGUGGCCGGGUGCCAGGAAGUGCGGCGCUGCGGGGCGAAUCCCAGGUUACCGGAAAGUGCGCGCGGCCCGCGGCAGCCGGCCUGGCCCACCGGGGAGAGAAAAGAGAAGGGCGAUCAGGAUUUUGGUCGUACCACGCUGCCCCCCUCCUCCCCGUUUAGUUUGUGAUCAGUAAUUUUCCAGCCGGGAAAUGUUUUCGACCUCAUCUUCUAUGCAAACAGUGUUUUUUUUUUUUAACGUGAGUGUGGUGUUCGGUAUCGCUCGCUGAACGUAGGCUGGCGAGGUGUUUACUUUGGACUGGGGCGCGCCGCGCCUGGCUCCGCCCGCGCUCUCCGCGGAGCCCCUCGCCCGCAACGCUGCCCUGCCCGGCCGGCGUCCGCCAGGGGAAGGAAAGGGAGGGAGGGCCUGGGAAAGGGGGUCGAAGUUCCAGCCCCGGGCAGGGUGUGCCCUCACCCCUUACUGAGCUCUCGUACAUGUUGCCGUGGUCACCUGUUUGAAUCCUGCGAUUCUGGUCCCUAUUAGGUUUCCACAGAAUAUUCGUUAUCCCUGAUUUUUCCACUCCUCGCCUGCCCACCACGGGAGCAUUCUUGGAAUGCACGUCGCCCGAAUGAAUCGACUCGGCCCUCUCUGCCAUCGCCCGGAAUCCGUCUAAGAUGUCUAAGGGGCAAGGAACUUCAAGUUCACAAAUCAUCUCCUUUCAAGGCAGGUGCCCGGUGUGACAACAGGGUUAUGACCCUCCCUCUCUUCAGAACAGCACAAACUGCAUUAGUCGGCGGAAGCUGUGACUCACACCAUUAGCGAGCGCUAGGGGAUUCGUGUGGAUCCACAGAGAGGUGUGAUGAUUGAAGAGGCUGCAUUCCUGUUUCAAGUGAGAGACUCUGCACCCAUAACUGGGCGUGGGGUCUGGACCCACAGAGCACCUCGGAGAGCGGGACUGCACCCCGGCUUGGGUGUCUGUGCAUAACUGCCGCAGAACUCAGGAAAAGAUGCUCUUUAAGAAGUGUCAGAGACCCGAGCACGUUUGAAUGUUGGCAGGGACGGCUGGUGGGAAGGAGCUGAUGACUGGCGCCGCGGACAGAGGAGGCGGCUGGCGGCUGGGUGCCCCGAGCAGAUGGAUGAGCAGACGGCAGGCUCAGGUGGAGGGAAGGAGAGAGGCAGGACCGGGAGUGUGGACGAGGAACGCCGAGAACGGAAGCCCCGUGUCUUCUGUGCUCAGUUUGCAAGAGCUGGUGUGGUAAGCCUGCAAUGUACGCAAUCUACCAUCAUCAUCAUCACUACCAUGAUCAUUAUUAUCUUAGUAAAAGGACAACUCUUAAAAACAGAAAGUUGAAGCUGUGGGCACAUGGUCUCCUAGAAGCUGUAACAACUUGCACCUGGAAUCAGGACUUACAGUAAAAUCAAAGCUCUAUGAAGAUGCACCAUGGUUUUUCAGGGGCUCAAGACCCCCUGAGGACUGCCACUGUGCCCAGAACUGUGACAAAAACCAAGCUAGCACCACUGAUGCAUGGAGUCAGGACACAGAAGGGACUUGUGGAAGUUGCUGAAUUGCUUUGUGGUUAGAGAACACAGCACACAUGCUAUGCUUCUGAAUUCUGUUGGACUUGCUUUAUAGUCUGGUGGACAAGGUUUCAUGUAUUAAGUGGAAACCAUAUGGAUGGCACUUUACAGACAUCAUCGUGACUCCUUCCAAUGCAAAUUCCAAAUACACAGUAAUGUUUACCUAACAGAUGGAGAAAUUGGAAGCUUAGAGAGCUGAGCAUUUGCUUGAAGUCUUGGCCAGGGUUGCACACUCAGGCCUAUCUCCACGUCUGUGUUCGUUCCCCUGAUUCUUGGAAAACCUAAGAUUAUGUCACUGCUGAUACUAAAUGGUGACCACAGGUUUGUUGUGAAGAUUCUGUGAGAUAAAACUUUUCGUGAAGCUCUGUGCAGGUGCUAGUCGGGAACAAUGCUAUAGGAUUAGCUAUGUGCUAGGCGCUGUUCCAAGCAUCCCUCCACCCUAGGAGGCAGGGACUCUUUACUCCCAUUUUACAGGAGAGAGAAGGAGGUCCCCAGUGACCCAUGAUGGCUGCGAAUCCCACAUCUAGAGGAGGGGCCCUGGCAGGAGGCUGUUGGUUGUCCCAAGAAGGAGCAGGGGACAGGAUGCGGCUUGAGGGGGUUUGAGCGAUGGGGAAACGUGAAGUGACUUGCAUGGGGGCACACGCCUUUCUGCCUCCAGGAAGGCACCAUCACUUCUCACCUGUGCAUCUGAGAGUUCCUUCUGGACUGAGUUGUGGCCGUGUGGUCUGGAGUGUGGCUCUUCCCAUCUGGACUCAUGCCACUGGCCACGCCCCCUCCAGCCUUAGGCAGAAGGAUCCAGGCUCAGUCAACCAUCCUCAUGUCCUUGCAUUAAGGAUCAGGGUAUGGGAGUAGUUCUGGGCCGGGAAAGAGAAGAUCUCUAUUUUCUGUUUCCCCAAUCUCUUAAUUCUUCUGCUAGUCUGUCCCUGGGAGACUCACUACAAGGUCAGGGAGUUGCCUCUUAGUUUCUAACAAGGGAUGCAUAGUUUCCUUCGUGACUUGACAUGGGGAGAGGAAGGCAGGGGUGGAGUUAGCCCUGCCUUACCUAGGACAGAGAUGAAGUAAGAAGGGGGACCUCAACUCCUUUCCUUUUUUAUUUUCUUGGGAGAGCAGAUACAGCUGAUGGGACACCUCAGUUCUAAGACAACAUCCGUUGUAAGUCACAUUCUCAAUUCAAUACCAGGCUUCACAGGGAGAAAAAAGACACAUAGUCGCUGAGCAUAUCUGUGGGCUGUGAAUUCCUGCAUUUAUCUGCCUUUGUUUUCCUGUGUAGACACAAGGCUGCCUGGCCUCCCAUAGCCACCCUCCAGGCAGGUGGAACUAUCUCCAUUUCACAGAUGGGGAAGCUGAAUCUCUCAUCCCUACCUACAAUAUCAAGAAUCCAAAGAUCCCCACAGAAACAUCUGGAAAUAAAAGAUGCUGCCACAGAGCCAGCUGCUCAACUACUUGU
This is a non-coding RNA of Microcebus murinus (gray mouse lemur), 3367 nucleotides long. NCBI's taxonomy places the organism in Eukaryota, Metazoa, Chordata, Mammalia, Primates, Cheirogaleidae. The record is from RefSeq and is a predicted model, not a curated record.